Molecule: ribosomal RNA, 511 nt
Filed under: Listeria monocytogenes
Lineage: Bacteria; Bacillati; Bacillota; Bacilli; Caryophanales; Listeriaceae
Description: partial 23S ribosomal RNA
Rfam family: Bacterial large subunit ribosomal RNA
Source: RNAcentral
CUGAGUACGGCGGAACACGUGAAAUUCCGUCGGAAUCCGGGAGGACCAUCUCCCAAGGCUAAAUACUCCCUAGUGACCGAUAGUGAACCAGUACCGUGAGGGAAAGGUGAAAAGCACCCCGGAAGGGGAGUGAAACAGUUCCUGAAACCGUGUGCCUACAAGUAGUUAGAGCCCGUUAAUGGGUGAUAGCGUGCCUUUUGUAGAAUGAACCGGCGAGUUACGAUUUGUUGCAAGGUUAAGCGGAAAAAGCGGAGCCGUAGCGAAAGCGAGUCUGAAUAGGGCGCAUAAGUAACAGGUCGUAGACCCGAAACCAGGUGAUCUACCCAUGUCCAGGAUGAAGGUAAGGUAAUACUUACUGGAGGUCCGAACCCACGCACGUUGAAAAGUGCGGGGAUGAGGUGUGGGUAGCGGAGAAAUUCCAAUCGAACUUGGAGAUAGCUGGUUCUCUCCGAAAUAGCUUUAGGGCUAGCCUCGAGGUAAAGAGUCAUGGAGGUAGAGCACUGUUUGGACU